GCGAGAUUUAGCUGAGAUUUUGCCGUUUCGGUUUUGAUUUUGGCCUUGUGUUGUUUGAUUUUUCCUUGUGGAAAUUUGAAUUUCGUACUUGAAAUGACAAGAUCGAUUGCGUUUUGAGUAGAACUGUAGUUAUUUGACAUGCUUUUUUUUGAGUGAGAAUUACAUAUAAAUCAGUAUAUGCAUGCAUAUUGAAUGUGUAAUUGUUAUGUAUACGUUGUAUUUGUAUGUAUGAGCUUGUUUAUUUAGGCAUAGAUUUGUAGAAUUUGAAUGUGCGAUCUUCGUUGUGUGAGUGAUUGAAUUUGCAUGAUCGAUCAGUUUUUUUUUUUUUUGGGCAAUGUUGUAAAAUAUAUAGUGUUAAUUAUACAACCAAAAAUUGAAAAAUGGAUUAAUGCUUAUUUUAUUGUGGUUCAAAAAAGUUGAUUGUGGUGGGCAAAUUGUGUAAAUUAAUUACAUGAUUGUGUAUUGUUAAAAAUUAUAUUGUGGAGUUAAAUGGUUGUAAUAUUUGAAUUACCAUCUGUGUUGUACAUUGCCAGGUGAAUAUAAUUUAUGAAUUAUGAGUGAAAACAUGUAACUGAACUCAUGUAUACUAUUUGGAUGCUGAUAUUGAUGCAAGAAUUUCUUAAUGAGCUUUUGUCACCUUCAUCUGAUUUUGUUAAACAAGGCACUGGAGAUGACAUACAGAACAUUCAAGAUGAAUGAUGUAAAUUCUCAACUAUGUAAUAAUGAUUAAGGAUGCAGAAUAGUUAUUAGACAGGUGGAAAUCAGUGUAAUAAAGCUGAAUGACAGAGGUAUUAUUUUGAUGCCAUAGUAGUUGCAAUGCACAAGAUCUGUAGUUCCUGUUUAAUACAUUGCUGACGUUUUGAUGGGGUGGAAAUUUUCUUAUAAUAUGGUCAGGGAUAUUGUUUCUUACAGUGGAAUUUAACUGCCAUGUACCAAAUUUCACUGAUCAGAGGAAAAGAGAAAGAAACAAAGUAUAUGACAUGUGGCUUAUGAUAGUUUAUCCAAUUACUUGCAUCAUUGCUUUUAUGAUAAGAUUUUGUGCUUUUCAUUAGGGUUAGUGAUAUUCUCUGGCUGAAAAAUUGAUAUUUGUUCCAAAUAUCAUAAUCAUUGUUGAAGUUUUUUUAAUUCAUCCUCCGAUUUUCUAAGUAGAAAAUUACAUUCUCUCGAAGAAAUUUUUUCUUUCUUUUGAUGUUUCAUUUUCACAUUUUUUAACCAUAAACUGAUGGCCUUCUUGGCAGGUUAAGAUUCACCUGAAGUAGGCUGUAGGAGUGCUUUGCUACGCGAUCAAUUGUAUCUCUGGACAGCUGGGUUAUUAAUGACUGUACUAGACAAGUUUAUGACCAUCCUGAGCUGCUUGAGGCUUUGUAACCUACAAUUUGCGUGCAUGUGAUAAGAGUCUUGUACUUGGGUUGUUGUGGGCGGUAAUGUGUCCUUUUUUGGUGCAAGGAUAUCUUUGCUGGUGCAUUCUUUUGGGCAGUCUUUGUACGUCUACUCUUUCUCAUAGUUCAGGGCAGUAUAGAGGUGGGGGUUGGUCAGGGAAUUGGCUGCAUAAUUCUGGUUCAAUUUUAAGCAAUGAUUCUAGAAAUGGCAUGUCGAACUAUGGCAAAUUGAAGGAAUUUUCUUUCCCAUUAAACAAUUCUGUAUCUUGUGAGGACCUACAAGGAGUUGGAUCAUUUAAUACCACCUGCUUGCUAAAUUCAAACUUGUAUUUGGAUUCUGAUCUUUACAUAUAUGGUACAGGAAACCUGGAGAUACUCCCCCAUAUUUCAAUUGUGUGUCCCUUGGAAGGCUGUAUGAUUAUUUUUAAUAUGACUGGCAAUGUUAACAUUGGUCAAUACGCAACUAUUGUUGCUGGUUCAGUUGUUUUUGCUGCUGCCAACUUGACCAUGGGGCAUGAUUCUUCUAUAAAUACAACUGCCUUAGGGGGAUUGCCACCUCCUCAAACUAGUGGUACACCAGUUGGGUAUGAUGGAGCUGGUGGAGGUCAUGGUGGUCGAGGUGCUUCCUGUCUGAAAAAGAAUAAGACAAAUAAUUGGGGUGGUGAUGUUUAUGCUUGGUCAACUUUAGCUGAGCCAUGGAGCUAUGGGAGUAAGGGUGGUGGCUCCUCUCCUGAUAAUAAGUUUGGAGGGAAUGGUGGAGGACGUGUCAAGCUUCAAGUGAAGGACCUACUAUACUUGAAUGGAUCUGUCACUGCAGAAGGUGGGGAUGGGGGAGUGAACAGGGGAGGUGGUUCUGGUGGAAGUAUCUUUAUACAUGCUGUAAAGUUGAAGGGAUAUGGUAUCAUAAGCGCAGCAGGUGGGAGGGGAAGGGGUGGAGGUGGUGGCGGAAGAAUUUCUCUUGAUUGUUACAGCAUACAGGAAGAUGUGAAAGUUGCUGUUCAUGGUGGCCUGAGUAUUGGUUGUCGUACAAAUGCUGGUGCAGCUGGUACAUUCUUUAAUGCAGAUUUACUGAGUUUAAGAGUGGGCAAUGACAAUGUGACAACAGAAACAGAAACCCCUUUGCUAGAUUUCCCUACUACACCUCUGUGGUCAAAUGUUUUCGUGGAGAAUAAUGCAAAAGUUUUGGUUCCACUGCUUUGGACUAGAGUGCAGGUCAGAGGCCAACUCGGUGUAUAUCGUGGAGGCAGUAUUGCCUUUGGAUUGUCUGCAUACCCAGUAUCAGAAUUUGAGCUGGUGGCAGAAGAACUUCUGAUGAGCGAUUCAAUAAUAAAGGUGUUUGGUGCAUUUAGAGUUGCUGUCAAAAUGUUACUCAUGUGGAACUCCAAAAUUGAAAUUGAUGGAGGUGGAAACACUUUUGUUAUUGCUUCCAUCCUUGAAGUCAGGAAUCUGAUUGUUCUACGGGCUAAUUCUGUCAUUAGCUCAAAUGCAAAUUUGGGGGUAUAUGGGCAGGGGCUACUGAGGUUGACAGGUCAUGGUGAUGCAAUCAAAGGCCAGCGACUCUCCCUUUCUCUCUUCUACAAUAUAACUGUUGGACCAGGUUCAUUACUACAGGCUCCAUUGGGUGAUGAUGCUGGCAGAAGUGUGGUUACACAAUCACUCUGUCAGAGUCAGACAUGCCCAGUAGAUUUGAUAACUCCUCCAGAUGACUGCCAUGUUAAUUAUACACUUUCCUUUUCUCUUCAAAUUUGUCGUGUUGAGGAUCUCCUUGUGAGUGGCAUUGUCAAGGGGAGUAUUAUUCACAUCCACAGGGCAAGAACAAUCAUUGUUGAUACUAGUGGCUUGAUUACUGCAUCAGGAUUAGGUUGUAGUGAAGGUGUUGGAAAAGGAAACUAUUCUAAUGGGGCUGGCAGUGGAGCUGGGCAUGGGGGACGAGGGGGCUCAGGAUACUUUAAUGGCAUUAUGAGCGAUGGUGGUAAUAAGUAUGGUGAUGCUUCUCUUCCUUGUGAGUUGGGAAGUGGAACUGAGGGUCCUGAUCAGUCAUACGGGAAUGUGGUUGGAGGGGGAAUGAUUGUGAUGGGUUCCAUCCAGUGGCCACUUCUAAGGCUCGAUCUUCAUGGAUCUUUGAAGGCUGAUGGUCAAAGCUUUGAUAAAACAUCAACUAAUAGUAAUCAUUCUUUGGUUGGUGGACUUGGUGGAGGUUCUGGUGGGACAAUCCUUCUUUUCCUUCAGGAGCUUGUGCUUGCAGAGAAUUCUUGUUUAUCUGUCCUUGGGGGGAGUGGUGGCCCUCUUGGUGGUGGUGGAGGUGGGGGUGGGAGGGUUCAUUUUCAUUGGUCUAAGAUAGAGAGUGGGGAUGAAUACAUUCCAGUUGCAAGUGUAGGUGGUUCAAUCAACAGUAGUGGAGGUGCUGGCGAUAAUGGUGGUCUUUUUGGGGAGGAAGGCACUGUUACUGGCAAAAAAUGUCCAAAAGGUCUCUAUGGUACAUUUUGCAAGGAAUGCCCUGUUGGCACUUACAAAGAAGUCGAAGGCUCUGAUGAAAGUCUUUGCACUCCUUGCUCUUUUGAGCACCUCCCUAAUCGUGCGAAUUUCAUUUAUGUGCGAGGAGGAGUUAGUGGGCCACCUUGUCCCUACAAAUGCAUAUCUGACAAAUACAGGAUGCCAAAUUGCUAUACUCCUCUUGAGGAGCUGAUAUAUACAUUUGGAGGCCCUUGGCCAUUUGCCCUUCUUCUGUCCUGCCUCUUGGUGCUUCUAGCUCUAUUGUUGAGUACGCUGAGAAUAAAAUUGGUUGGAUCAGGAUCUUCUUAUGGUGUACACUCAAUUGACCACCAAAGUCAUCACCAUUUUCCACAUUUGCUUUCCUUGUCAGAGGUGAGGGGAACUAGAGCUGAAGAAACCCAGAGCCAUGUCUACAGGAUGUACUUUAUGGGUCCAAAUACUUUUAGGGAGCCCUGGCAUCUUCCUUACUCUCCACCCAAUGCAAUUAUUGAGAUUGUGUAUGAAGAUGCUUUUAACAGAUUCAUUGAUGAGAUAAACUCUGUUGCUGCAUACGAUUGGUGGGAAGGUUCAGUCCAUAGCAUACUUUCAGUGCUUGCCUAUCCUUGUGCCUGGUCCUGGAAACAGUGGCGCCAGAGGAAUAAAAUUCAUCGACUUCAGGAAUAUGUCAAGUCUGAAUAUGACCAUUCUUGUCUCCGCUCUUGCCGAUCACGAGCACUGUAUAAAGGGAUGAAGGUUGGAGCAACACCAGACUUGAUGGUUGCAUAUAUUGAUUUUUUCCUUGGUGGUGAUGAGAAGCGCUUAGAUAUUGUAUCUAUAAUAAAAAAGAGAUUCCCUAUGUGCAUAAUUUUUGGUGGGGAUGGGAGCUAUAUGUCACCUUAUAGUCUUCAUAGUGACUCAUUGCUGACCAAUCUUCUUGGACAGCAUGUCCCACCAUCUGUCUGGAAUCGUUUGGUGGCUGGUUUAAAUGCUCAGUUGAGGACUGUGAGGCAUGGGUCUAUCCGCUCUGCACUGCUCCCAGUGAUUGAUUGGAUCAAUAGUCAUGCAAAUCCCCAACUUGAUUUCCAUGGGGUUAAGAUAGAGCUUGGAUGGUUCCAAGCUACUGCCUCUGGUUACUAUCAGUUGGGUAUCUUGGUAAUGGUUGGUGAAUAUUCUUUCUACAGUAUGCACCAGUCUGAUUUGUUAGAUAGAAUCAACAGUGAAUGUGCAAGGAAGAGUGCCUCUUGCACAAGCAGAAGUCUUAAGCAGCUGCAACAGGAUCGUCCAUACAUGAGUCAAGUUUUAUCUCGUAAAAAGAUGACUGGAGGAAUUAAUGGAGGUCUGAUAAAUGAUGCUACCUUGAAAUCUUUGGAGUAUAAAAGAGACUUUCUCUUUCCAUUUUCACUCUUAUUGCACAAUACAAGACCUGUUGGGCGACAGGACACACUUCAGCUUUUCAUAACUAUCAUGCUUUUGGCAGAUCUUUCCAUCACUCUCCUUGCUUUGCUUCAGUUCUAUUGGAUUUCUCUUGGCGCUUUCCUUGCAGUCCUGCUUAUUCUUCCUCUAUCCUUGCUUUCUCCAUUUCCCGCUGGUUUGAAUGCCUUAUUCAGCAGAGAACCUAGAAGAGCUUCACUUGCUCGUAUAUAUGCAUUGUGGAAUGCCACAUCUCUGUCUAACAUUGCUGUGGCUUUCAUCUGUGGCAUAGUUCAUUAUGGAUUUUCUUCUUUCCAGCCACCAGACAAGGAAAACACAUUGAACAUUAGAAGGGAGGAUGAUAAAUGGUGGUUGUUGCCAACGAUCCUUCUGCUAUUGAAGUCGAUUCAAGCUCGUUUUGUCGAUUGGCACAUUGCUAAUCUAGAAAUGCAAGACUUCUCUUUGUUCUGCCCAGAUCCAGACACUUUUUGGGCCCAUGAAUCUAGUUCUUGAUUCCAUGUUCAACACAUCAGAAUGAACUGUAUCUCUGGACUUCUCUAUCAAUGUUGAAACAGACCAAGAAAGAAGAGUCUUUUAUCUUCUGCUUCAUCCCAGGUGAGAUUGUGUCUUGCUGUGUAAAUUUUUUCCCACUGGUGUAAAGCAUUGAUUAUAGCUUGUGCAGUUUUCCUCCUCCUGUAAGUAUGGUCGUGUGCAGGACCCAUUCGAAUUAGGAUCAGUCUUAGCAAAUUUCGCAGUUCAUUGUUUAUAGUACCUACACUAGAUUGAAAUUAUUAAUGUAAGAUGAAAAAAUUUUGGUGUUCGCUUGUCCUACUCUCACUUUUUGCAAAAAUUCUAUUGCCAAUGGUCAAACUUUCAUGAUGUUGCUGGAUCAACGAUAUCAUCGAGACUUUUUUUCAAACUUGGUUAAAGCAGGCGGCUACGUAUUUUGUAGUCAUAGAUUGCGGAUUUGGUUUUUACCAAUAGCUUAGCUUUUUUAAAGGAGUGAUUUGCAAUGAGCUCUGAAAGCAUCAUAACUCAAAUCAAUUAAAGGUGGCAAAUGUGUCACGUAGGUUCAAGUCUUCGAUGUUGUUUGUUUGCUUUUUUUGGACGAGUUUAUUUCGAGUCAUUUGGGUCAUCUUUGAUCUUGUUUGUUUGUUUUUGAUUCCAAUUUGAGUCAUUUAGAGUUGUACAGGUUGAUUUAGAAUAUCCAUUAGAUCAAUA
This 6482-nucleotide unclassified non-coding RNA is filed under the name Hevea brasiliensis (rubber tree). Lineage: Eukaryota; Viridiplantae; Streptophyta; Magnoliopsida; Malpighiales; Euphorbiaceae. The record is from RNAcentral.